UUUGGUCAUUUAGAGGAAGUAAAAGUCGUAACAAGGUUUCCGUAGGUGAACCUGCGGAAGGAUCAUUACCGAGUUUUCGGGCUUCGGCUCGACUCUCCCACCCUUUGUGAACGUACCUCUGUUGCUUUGGCGGCUCCGGCCGCCAAAGGACCUCCAAACUCCAGUCAGUAAACGCAGACGUCUGAUAAACAAGUUAAUAAACUAAAACUUUCAACAACGGAUCUCUUGGUUCUGGCAUCGAUGAAGAACGCAGCGAAAUGCGAUAAGUAAUGUGAAUUGCAGAAUUCAGUGAAUCAUCGAAUCUUUGAACGCACAUUGCGCCCCUUGGUAUUCCGGGGGGCAUGCCUGUUCGAGCGUCAUUACAACCCUCAAGCUCUGCUUGGAAUUGGGCACCGUCCUCACUGCGGACGCGCCUCAAAGACCUCGGCGGUGGCUGUUCAGCCCUCAAGCGUAGUAGAAUACACCUCGCUUUGGAGUGGUGGGCGUCGCCCGCCGGACGAACCUUCUGAACUUUUCUCAAGGUUGACCUCGGAUCAGGUAGGGAUACCCGCUGAACUUAAGCAUAUCAAUA
This 571-nucleotide ribosomal RNA is filed under the name Lasiodiplodia sp. P34E1. RNAcentral's name for it is "eukaryotic LSU rRNA". The stretch from base 206 to 359 matches the Rfam family "5.8S ribosomal RNA". Lineage: Eukaryota; Fungi; Ascomycota; Dothideomycetes; Botryosphaeriales; Botryosphaeriaceae. The record is from RNAcentral.